CGUCUCUUCUCGCAUAUCCAGUCUGGAUGGCAGAGGGUUUUUCCAGCCGGUCGCCUAUCUCCAGCCGCCCGAUGCUUCUGGCGCCGUUUCGUCUCAUCUUGCCGUUUCUCUGCGGAUCGCGCCCCGAAUCGCACUCUCUCUUUUAACGUUUAACCGCAAGUUCUACUCUUCAGAUUUUCCCUGUUUUUAUGC
Molecule: non-coding RNA, 192 nt
Organism: Caenorhabditis elegans
Lineage: Eukaryota; Metazoa; Nematoda; Chromadorea; Rhabditida; Rhabditidae
Source: Ensembl